GACCAAAAGAUUGAGUUAUAUAAAUAGGUAAAAAGACAGUUAAGUAAGUAAAAGUCUUGUAAAUUUUUAUAAAAAGGUAAAAUUUGAAUAUAAAAAAGCGAAUUAUAAAAGACUAAUAAACUGAAGCUGUGAGAAUUUUGAGGGAAACUGGGAUUAGAUACCCCAUUAUUCAUAAUCGUAAAGAAGCGUGAUAGCUUACUAGAGUACUAUGAAUUAUAAGAUUUAAAACUCAAAGGGCUUGGCGGUGUUUUAGACCAAUUAGGGGAACCUGUCUCAUAAUCGACAAUCCACGUUAGACCUGACCUGUUUUAGUGAACAGUUUGUAUACCGUCGUCGUCAGGUAACUUUUAAAAAUCAAGAAGUUGGCAAAAUAAUUACAUAUAUUAAGACGUCAGAUCAAGGUGCAGCUAAUAAAGAGGAGAGGAUGGGUUACAAUUAUAAAUUUAUAAUAUGGAAAAUUUAAUGGAAAAAGUUUGAAGGCGGACUUAAAAGUAAUAAUAAUAAUAUAUAAAUAGUUUGAAUUCGGCUCUGAAACGUGC
This 539-nucleotide ribosomal RNA is filed under the name Mitrella mindorensis. RNAcentral describes it as "partial small subunit ribosomal RNA". The record is from RNAcentral. Lineage: Eukaryota; Metazoa; Mollusca; Gastropoda; Neogastropoda; Columbellidae.